CUGCUCACAGGAGACAAAAAAUAGAAACAUGAAUUUCCCGAAACAAAGAGCUCGAGCUUCACUGCUGAGAGCAAAAACCCAGAACUGCACCAGCAACAUUUCGUUCAGUUUUUUCCUCAGAAAGCAGCAGUUUCUGCCUGAAGGGAAGAUGUGUGGAUGUGGUACGAGUGAAACCUGGAGAUGAUGUCAUUCUGCCAUGUCAGGCUGGUGAAGCCUCCAUCAUAGCUGUAGAGUGGAGCAGACCUGACCUGGAGCCAGACUACGUCCUCUUUUACAGAGAUGGCGUUCAGUUAAAACCCAGCAGCAUCCAUCCUUUAAGGACCGGGUGCAGCUGGUGGACAGAGAGCUGAAGGACGGAAACGUGUCUUUAAUUCUGAAGAACGUGAGCAGCAACGACGCUGGAACAUACGAGUGUCGAGUUGCAACAGGAGGUUCAAGACGUCAGAGAGCCGACAUUGAUGCUGAGCCAAUCAGAAUCAUCCAGCUGGAGGUUUCAGGGUCCAACAGCGGAGACGUCGUGGAGGGAAACUACGGACUGGGAGCACUGAUUUUGUUCGGGUUUGUUUAGCUGCUGCUGUUGGCUGGAAAUGGAAAAGACAUUAGAACAAGAAAUCAGGACAGCCUGCUGCUGAUGACGCAGUGAACGACCUCUGAUCUCUUUCCACCACAUGUUUCAUACAUUCAACAUGAUUUUCAGUCUUUCUGUGGGUGUGAAUAUGUAAAUCUGGCCUUUGAGGCAAAGGGACCAUGAUGAUCUGCUCAUCAACGUGAAAAAAUAAUGUUGGAGGGUUUGCGUACGCGUUGAUCCUGAGAGUUAUCUUGUCUGCAUAUCGUUGCCACUUUAUUGUUGUUGUGCCAUAAACAUAAAGUGCAAAUACCUCUACUUUGUCCGUCAGUACAGUCGGCCGACUUAAGUUCCUGCCCACCACAUCUGAACACUUCAGAGCUGCCUGUACACUAAACAGCUUGCCUCUGUAGCCGAAAGCUGUUGUUCUUCUUGUCGAUGUACUGUAGCACAGGCACCAACUGACAGUGGGUGGAAAUGUCAGUUGUUUCGUCUGCCUGAAUAUUUUUUACUUCCUCCAGAAUGUAAUCUUUGAUAACUGACAGCAUGCAGUCCAAAAGUUCGUUUUGCACAGUCUGGUGCCUUUAAAAAACUGUAGCUGUCGUAAGGUGCUUCUCACACACAGUCCAGCGAUCAACAAGAUCUUCUGAAAACGGCAGGGUUGUCAGAGGAUGCAGUCUUAUUGUGGCUCCACAAGGAAGAGUUAUUCUGUGGCCUUUGACAAUCAAACAUGUCUGACAAUAGAUUAGAAGAUCCAUGGUUUGUGUUUCAUAUCAGGUUCAUUUUUACAUUUAAUCUUUGAUCUGUAAUUUUUUCUUUUCUUUAAGAGGCUGAUGGUGGGUCAUAGAAAGGCUUGUGAUGUCUGCAAAUAUUUAUAUAUAUUGGAGACAAUGAUGGUUAAAUAUUUUACUUUGAAAGCUGCUUCGGUUUUUCUCUGUUUGUAAAGGUCUAUUCAUACUCAGCAGGUUCUGGUAUGAGUUGACUGUUUCCUGUAAGCCAUUUAUAUUAAAUUUUUCAUAUGUACAAAAAAUUUGUUUUCUGUGACUUUCUGUUUCUACCUGAAUGUUGAAAUAAACUGUAGGUUACCUGA
Micropterus salmoides (largemouth bass) is the source of this 1655-nucleotide long non-coding RNA. RefSeq lists it as uncharacterized. The transcript has 3 exons. The record is from RefSeq and is a predicted model, not a curated record. NCBI's taxonomy places the organism in Eukaryota, Metazoa, Chordata, Actinopteri, Centrarchiformes, Centrarchidae.